Molecule: ribosomal RNA, 253 nt
Filed under: uncultured bacterium
Lineage: Bacteria
Description: partial 16S ribosomal RNA
Rfam family: Bacterial small subunit ribosomal RNA
Source: RNAcentral
UACAGAGGGUGCGAGCGUUGUCCGGAAUCACUGGGCGUAAAGGGCGCGUAGGUGGCGACCCAAGUCCAUGGUGAAAGCUCGAUGCUCAACAUCGAGUCGACCACGGAUACUGGGUUGCUGGAGCACUGUAGAGGCAGAUGGAAUUCCGGGUGUAGCGGUGGAAUGCGUAGAGAUCCGGAAGAACACCGGUGGCGAAGGCGGUCUGCUGGGCAGUUGCUGACACUGAGGCGCGACAGCGUGGGGAGCAAACAGG